This 274-nucleotide ribosomal RNA is filed under the name uncultured bacterium. RNAcentral's name for it is "partial 16S ribosomal RNA". It matches the Rfam family "Bacterial small subunit ribosomal RNA", at positions 523 to 796 of the family's 1533-position model. The record is from RNAcentral.
AUACGGAGGGUGCAAGCGUUAUUCGGAAUCACUGGGCGUAAAGGACGCGUAGGCGGGUUGGCAAGUCAGAUGUGAAAUCCUACAGCUUAACUGUAGAACUGCAUUUGAAACUGCUAACCUAGAGUAUGGGAGGGGGAGAUGGAAUUAGUGGUGUAGGGGUAAAAUCCGUAGAUAUCACUAGGAAUACCGAAAGCGAAGGCGAUCUCCUGGAACAUAACUGACGCUAAGGCGUGAAACCGUGGGGAGCAAACAGGAUUAGAAACCCUAGUAGUCC